GGCAGAAGUAGGAGCCACCAAGGGAAUUGUUAAAUUCUACCUUUCUCCUUCCAUAUUCUCAUAAUCAGCAAAUUGAGUUUUUUUGGACAACCAGGAUGGAACCCUCUGGGCUGUCUUGCCAGGGUCUAUGCCUUUUCUCCUCUUAGAAGAAUGCAGUGACAGCAGGACACCCUGCAAUCCAGAAUGACUGGAUCUCAACUUGAUGAUAUCUACAAACACCUGAUCUCCAAGUAAGGUCACAUUCAUAGGAUCCUGGAUCUGGGAUCCAGUCAUUUACUACCGUCAAUAAGUUUCCUCAAAUUGCAGCUGGCUUUCUACAAAAGAGAUGACCCCAUCUAGUAGCCUUCAUCUUGAAUUCAGGAAAGCUGAGCAUCCUACUUUUCCUAGAGUCAAAACAGAGAUGCUAAUUGGCUGCUGGUGAAAUGUCUGGCUUCUCCUCCAAGGGCUGGUUGAGAAAGUGGCCAGAGAAGGAGGCAGAUUCCAAGGGCAAGCUGAAGUUCUCAAGACAAGGAGGCACCAGGAGACCACUAGGAAUCACGAAUCAACAUCCGCUCUUCCAAAGAAGUCUCUUGUUUUUUGCACGCAAACUUCGCUGCUGGUCCUCAGGGACUCGACAGGGAAGCUGCCCUCCACGUGACAGCUCUGUGCUGGAGUCUGUGUCAACACCAACUGGCCAGAUCACAACUAAACGGGGGAGAGAGUGCCGGGAAGUCCACUACUAUCAAACGUUUCUGCCCCCAGAACGAAGAAACGUUACACCGGGAGGCCGCUGGGCCCCCAAGCCUGGGGAAUAGAAAGCAGAUGUUGUCCUCGAUGCGUAAGCCCUCGCAGUCUCGCUGCAGCCUCCUGUGCUGUGUCUUCGUGGAAGAAGUGCAAUCCUCAUUUCAGACUCCACAAAGCAAAGGGACUGCAGGAGAAAAAGCUCAUGGGCUAGAGUGCUUUACCAGGAUCUCAUUUCCCUCAUGGCAAAAUGAGGUGGAUCAUAUUGGGUGGUACUGAAGACCCUUGGAGUUGGGGCACCUGUGAAGGAAGACAGCAGAAAAAUGAUUUAAUUGCCCUUGGAAAGUUGUCAUCAGGAAAUCAGAGGAGCCCAGUAGGAGGAACGCAUGACGCAGCCUGGAGGCAGGAGGGAGGCUCCCCAGAGGAGGUGACAUUUCAUCUGAAGUGAAGAGCAUGUGGAGCGGGCCAGCAGUGGGGAGUGGAGGAGCGCUUCAGGUGGAGAAGAAGAGGGCUCACCAGGCCUGGGGACUGGCCCAACUCCACCACCAGUGACAGGGUGAACCGGGACCAUGUCCAGGCUGGGCCUCUUUCCAGACAUCCUACUGCCCAGGGUAGCAUUCCACAGCUUCCUUCACUCUCAGCAGCUACCACUUAGCCAGGAAAGUAUCUUGCUUGAACUGAGGAGGAAAAAUGUCCAGCCUGUGAAGCUCUGGUGAAAGCUGACUUUGGAAAUGUGAGUGUGGUCGAGCAGUGUGCAAAAACCUCUGGAGGCCCUGUCUGGAAGGCCCGGGGAUCUUCACGGCAGACUUCCCGUGUCCAGACCUUGUCUCAAACGCUUCGCCUGGGGGCGGGAGGGCAGCAUCCCACUGUGUCACAGGUGAGGAAACUGAGGCUCAGGCAGGUGACGUGAUAUACCCAAGGCCCUGCACCUGGUGAGCAGGGAGCAGCUUCACAGCCAGUUGGUGUGACUUCGAAGCCGGUGGCCCUCUCUGUACUGCCACUGUCUGUCCAGGCUUCUAUUUGUCUCCAUUAUUUCCAAAUAGCCUUAAAUUAAUUUUAUGAUAAAAGCAAACUCUUUUCUUUUUUUGACAGUGCUAGGGAUCGAAUCUAGGACUUUCACACUGAGCUACAGCCCUAGUCCUCCCUGCUUUUUAUAAAAUCUUGAGACAGGGUCUCACUAAGCUCAUAAAUUACUCAGGAUGGUUUACAUUUUGGAUCCUCUUGCCUCAGCCUCUCAGAGUCCUGGGAUUAUAGGUGUGCAGCACCAUGCCCAGCUAAAGCAAACAAAAUUUUAAACAUUAUCCUCAAAAUAGAUAAAAAUAUUUCUAAAAUGUAACAUUCUUGUAAUGCUUUGUAUUGUCAGUACCUGCUACAUGUUUGACACUAGCGGAUGUGUAAUAAAUGAUUAAUGAUUGGAUAUACAAAUAGAUGAGUCCAUAUCUGCUACUAUUUGUUUUUAAAACAUCUCUUUGUCUGGGCACAUGCUCAUAAUACCAGCUACUCAGAAGACUGAGGCAGGAGGAUUGUGAGUUUGAGGCUAGGUUAGGC
Heterocephalus glaber (naked mole-rat) is the source of this 2268-nucleotide long non-coding RNA. Lineage: Eukaryota; Metazoa; Chordata; Mammalia; Rodentia; Bathyergidae. The record is from Ensembl.